CCUACGGGCGGCAGCAGUGAGGAAUAUUGGUCAAUGGGCGCGAGCCUGAACCAGCCAAGUCGCGUGAGGGAAGACGGUCCUAUGGAUUGUAAACCUCUUUUGUCGGGGAGCAAAAGACGCCACGCGUGGCGUUCCGAGAGUACCCGAAGAAAAAGCAUCGGCUAACUCCGUGCCAGCAGCCGCGGUAAUACGGAGGAUGCGAGCGUUAUCCGUAUUUAGUGGGUUUAAAGGGUGGGCAGGAGGAAGAUCAAGGCAGCGGGAAAAUUGAGAGGCUAAACCUCUUAGAGCCGGUGAAACUGGUAUUCUUGAGUGAGUGAGAAGUAUGCGGAAUGCGUGGUGUAGCGGUGAAAUGCAUAGAUAUCACGCAGAACGCCGAUUGCGAAGGCAGCAAACCGGCGCUCAACUGACGCUCAUGCACGAAAGUGUGGGUAUCGAACAGGAUUAGAUACCCCAGUAGUC
Molecule: ribosomal RNA, 459 nt
Filed under: uncultured bacterium
Lineage: Bacteria
Description: partial 16S ribosomal RNA
Rfam family: Bacterial small subunit ribosomal RNA
Source: RNAcentral